This 460-nucleotide ribosomal RNA is filed under the name uncultured bacterium. RNAcentral describes it as "partial 16S ribosomal RNA". It matches the Rfam family "Bacterial small subunit ribosomal RNA", at positions 338 to 795 of the family's 1533-position model. The record is from RNAcentral.
CCUACGGGAGGCAGCAGUGAGGAAUAUUGGUCAAUGGGCUUACGCCUGAACCAGCCAAGUCGCGUGAGGGAAGACUGCCCUAUGGGUUGUAAACCUCUUUUGUCAGGGAGCAACGCCGGCUACGUGUAGCCUGAUUGCGAGUACCUGUAGAUAAAGCAUCGGCUAACUCCGUGCCAGCAGCCGCGGUAAUCCGAAGGAUGCGACCGUAAUCCGGAUUUUUUGGGUUUAAAGGGUGCGUGGGCGGAAUGCCAAGUCAGCGGUAAAAUCGCGGGGCUAAACCUCGCUCUGCCGUUGAAACUGGCGUGCCUGAGUGGGCGAGAGGUAGGCGGAAUGCGUGGUGUAGCGGUGAAAUGCAUAGAUAUCACGAAGAACUCCGAUUGCGAAGGCAGCAUACCGGCGCCCAACUGACGCUGAAGCACGAAAGCGUGGGUAUCGAACAGGAUUAGAUACCCCAGUAGUC